Molecule: long non-coding RNA, 2836 nt
Filed under: Homo sapiens (human)
Lineage: Eukaryota; Metazoa; Chordata; Mammalia; Primates; Hominidae
Description: HSALNT0253072
Source: RNAcentral
CGAGGGCUGAGGUGGGAGGUCGGGGGCGUCCCCGCGGGUUAAGCGUGCGAGAGAGCGAGGUGCACCAGCGGGCAUGGAUGGCCUGUGCAGAGUCCAGUCUUGUGAGGGCGGCGAACUAGGCAGCGAAUCGCGGGAGUUUCCUAUUGGCAGCAGUCCGAGUCCCAGACGUUAAUUUGUAACAAAAGUAGCGAUGGCCAAGCCCAUAAAGGGGGCAUCUCGGAAAGCCGUUCGCAUGCACGGAAGAGAUGAAAGCCCCGUGCGCGCUAGAAAACGGUUUCGCAACUCACUUCGGGAAGCAAAUGCGCUGCCCCCCAAAACAUAAAGUUGGCGAACUGUGCCUGACCCCGCUGGGGUUUUGGAAUGCCUCGUCCUCACAGGAAAAAAAUCCAGGGAAAUCAUCUUUUCCUUAAAAAGCAAAAGUGUCCAAAUUAUUUCUGUGACUGAAGUAGUUUGUCUGCGGUUGGCCAGUGACAUGGCAAGGCCUUGUUUGUGCAUUUAAGGUAAAUCAGAUUCUCUUCUAGGAGUCUGGAAGAGAACUUCCCCAAAGGGCACCCUCUUUCCCUUCUGACACAGAGGAAAUACCACAUAUAAAGAGCUACAAAUGUUUGAAGGAGAAAAAAAAUAAAGAAAAAUUCCAGCAUGUUAAAAUUUGAUAUUUUAUGUAGGCCCUUUUCAGCAAUGGUAGUUAAUUCCAAAAAGAACCACACGAGAGGUUUCACAUGUGGGGUCAUCCAUCCUUCCAGGGAUGCAGAAGGUUCCUACACAUACUAGGUGUCUGAUGAAUGUGAGCUCCCUUCCCCCUGCUUACCUCCUCCAUAGGAAUGCAUGCCUAUCCAGAAAAACACAAAACACACGCAUGUCAGGCCUCUGAGCCCAAGCCUGCACAUAUACAUCCAGAUGGCCUGAAGCAACUGAAGAAUCACAAAAGAAGUGAAAAUGCUGAAGCAACUGAAGAAUCACAAAAGAAGUGAAAAUGGCCGGUUCCUGCCUUAACUGAUAAGACAGUCACCUGUCCUCCUGCUCUUUGCUCUGUGAGAAAGAUCCACCUACAACCUCGGGUCCUCAGACCAACCAGCUCCAGGAACAUCUCACCAAUUUUAAAUUGGAUUCCCAGCCUUAUGAAGACACCCUAUCUGGACGAUCAGUUCUUGUUAAGAAUCUGACCCCUCAAACUCUACAACCUCGACGGACCGGACCCUACUUAGUCAUCUAUAAUACCCUAACUGCCGUCCUCCUGCAGGACCCUCCCCAUUGGGUUCACCGUUCCAGAAUAAAGCCGUGUCCAUUGGACAGCCAGCCUGAUCUCUCCUCUUCCUUCUGGAAGUCGCGAGUACUCACCCCUACUUCCCUUAAACUCACCCACAUUUCUGAAGAACAGUAGUAACCCUUAUGAGCCUAAUACAUCCCUUCAUUUUGUUAGGUCUAUCCUUCCUUACCAGAGUCUUUGCAACAGGGCCUUAUGCAGUCACCCCCACUACUUAGACUGCAUCCCAAAAACUUUUCAUCCCUGCUCUCUUCUGUCUAGUCAUACUCCUAUUCUUCGUUUUCACCUCUCCAUACAUGCCCUGCCCUUGUCUACACUGCCAGCUUAUACUUUUCCUCCAAACCAUCAUAGCUGGUCCUGGUCUUAUCCCCUAACUGCCACUCUUAACUCCCUCUUGGAAUGGAUAAAUGGCCUUUGCUGGAAAAGCACACUCCACUUCUUUCACCCAUUUUACAUUUCCAGUUUCGCCUUACGCAAGGUCUCUUCUUCCUCUGUGGCUCCUCCACCUGCAUGUGUCCACCUGUUAAUGAGACAGGAACAUGUACACUAGUUUUCCUUACCCCAAAAAUCAAUUUGCAAAUAAGACCGAGCAGCUUCCUGUUCCCCUCAUGACACCAACACUUCACUAUUAUUUUAUUUUUUCUUAUUAUUAAUAUAAGAAGACAGGAAUAGGCCUUGACUUACUCACUGCUGAAAAAGGAAGACUCUGUAUAUUUUUAAAUGAAGACUGUUGUUUUUACCUAAAUCAGUCUGGCCUGGUAUAUGACAACAUAAAAAAAUUCAAGGAUAGAGGCCAAAAACUCACCAGCCAAGCAAAUAAUCAUGCUGAACCCCCUUAGGCACUCUCUAAUUUGAAGUCCUGGGUCCUCCCAAUUCUUAGUCCUUUAAUACUUGUUUUUCUCCUUUUCUUAUUCGGACCUUAUGUCUUCUGUUUAGUUUCUCAGUUCAUACAAAACCAUAUCCAGGCCAUCACCAAUCAUCCUAUAUGACAAAUGCUCCUUCUAACAACCCCAGAAUAUCACCCCUUACCACAAAAUCUUCCUUCCUCUUAAUCUCUCCCACUCUAGGUUCCCAUGCCACCCCUAAUCCUGCUCGAAGCAGCCCUGAGAAACAUCACCCAUUAUCUCUCCAUACCACCCCCCAAAAUUUUCCCCACCCCAACACUUCACCACUGUUUGUUUUUCUUAUUAAUAUAAGAAGACAAGAAUGUCAGGACUCUGAGCCCAAGCCUGCACAUAUACAUCCAGAUGGCACGAAGCUACUGAAGAAUCACAAAAGAAGUGAAAAUGGUCGGUUCCUGCCUUAACUGAUGACAUUACCUUGUGAAAUUCCUUCUGGCUCAGAAGCUCCCCCACUGAGCACCUUGUGACCCCCGCCCCUGCCCUCAAGAGAACAACCCCCUUUGACUGUAAUUUUCCACUACCUACCCAAAUCCUAUAAAACUGCCCCAGCCCUAACUUCCUUUGCUGACUCUCUUUUUGGACUUAGCCCACCUGCAAUUAAAAAGCUUUAUUGCUCACACAAAGCCUGUUGGUGGUCCCUUCACACGGACACACGUGACAAUGCACACAC